Molecule: unclassified non-coding RNA, 323 nt
Filed under: Hevea brasiliensis (rubber tree)
Lineage: Eukaryota; Viridiplantae; Streptophyta; Magnoliopsida; Malpighiales; Euphorbiaceae
Source: RNAcentral
GCAACGAGGGCGUUAUCACCGUGGAGGAAGCCAAGAGCCUCGAUACCGAACUCGAGGUGGUCGAAGGCAUGCAGUUCGACCGCGGCUAUGUAUCGCCCUAUUUCGUCACCAAUGCCGAAAAGAUGCGGGUCGAGCUCGAAGAUCCCUAUAUCCUUAUCCACGAAAAAAAGCUGUCCAGCCUGCAGCCAAUGCUGCCGUUGCUCGAAGCCGUCGUGCAGUCCGGCAAACCGCUGCUGGUCGUGGCCGAGGAUAUUGAAGGCGAAGCGCUGGCAACCUUGGUUGUCAACCGGCUGCGCGGCGGCCUGAAAGUCGCGGCCGUGAAG